UCUAAAAAAAAUUUGAUUGGUAAGGUACUUUAAAGAAGUCAUUUUUAUUUUCCCCAGCAAAUGCGAAAAAUCAGGAAAAACAUGGCAAAAACGGGAAAAUCGGUACAACAUUAAAUAAAUAUUAUUAUUAAAAUGUAUAAAACUUUAUUUUAACACCUUUUUUACCCCUACUCCAUAUACCUUAAAUAAGUGCAGAAAAGAACAGGAAUUAAAUUUACUUAAAAUCCUCUAAGAUGAUUGCUGGUUCAUGCAUGAUAGAAAAAAUCACUCUGUAUAAUGUUGACAAAGCAUCACUAUCAUUUAAACUCCACU
This is a non-coding RNA of Cinara cedri, 312 nucleotides long. The record is from the annotation of a GenBank genome assembly. NCBI's taxonomy places the organism in Eukaryota, Metazoa, Arthropoda, Insecta, Hemiptera, Aphididae.